UGCAGUCGAGCGCCCGUCACUCAACUGAGCAACUGUGAGCCAUUCACGGAAGCUGAGUUGAGUGACGGGAGCGGCGGACGGGUGAGUAACACGUGGGCAACCUGCCUGUAAGAUCGGGAUAACUUCGGGAAACCGGAGCUAAUACCGGAUAAUCCUUUUUUCCUGCAUGGGGAAAAGCUGAAAGAUGGCUUCGGCUAUCACUUACAGAUGGGCCCGCGGCGCAUUAGCUAGUUGGUGAGGUAACGGCUCACCAAGGCGACGAUGCGUAGCCGACCUGAGAGGGUGAUCGGCCACACUGGGACUGAGACACGGCCCAGACUCCUACGGGAGGCAGCAGUAGGGAAUCUUCCGCAAUGGACGAAAGUCUGACGGAGCAACGCCGCGUGAGUGAUGAAGGUUUUCGGAUCGUAAAACUCUGUUGUCAGGGAAGAACAAGUACCGUUCGAACAGGGCGGUACCUUGACGGUACCUGGCCAGAAAGCCACGGCUAACUACGUGCCAGCAGCCGCGGUAAUACGUAGGUGGCAAGCGUUGUCCGGAAUUAUUGGGCGUAAAGCGCGCGCAGGCGGUCUUUUAAGUCUGAUGUGAAAGCCCACGGCUCAACCGUGGAGGGUCAUUGGAAACUGGAGGACUUGAGUGCAGAAGAGGAGAGCGGAAUUCCACGUGUAGCGGUGAAAUGCGUAGAGAUGUGGAGGAACAC
RNAcentral lists this ribosomal RNA (700 nucleotides) under uncultured bacterium. RNAcentral describes it as "bacterial SSU rRNA". It matches the Rfam family "Bacterial small subunit ribosomal RNA", at positions 56 to 709 of the family's 1533-position model. The record is from RNAcentral.